RNAcentral lists this ribosomal RNA (580 nucleotides) under Botrytis fabae. RNAcentral's name for it is "eukaryotic LSU rRNA". The stretch from base 207 to 360 matches the Rfam family "5.8S ribosomal RNA". Lineage: Eukaryota; Fungi; Ascomycota; Leotiomycetes; Helotiales; Sclerotiniaceae. The record is from RNAcentral.
UUUUGGAAGUAUAAAAUCGUAACAAGGUUUCCGUAGGUGAACCUGCGGAAGGAUCAUUACAGAGUUCAUGCCCGAAAGGGUAGACCUCCCACCCUUGUGUAUUAUUACUUUGUUGCUUUGGCGAGCUGCCUUCGGGCCUUGUAUGCUCGCCAGAGAAUACCAAAACUCUUUUUAUUAAUGUCGUCUGAGUACUAUAUAAUAGUUAAAACUUUCAACAACGGAUCUCUUGGUUCUGGCAUCGAUGAAGAACGCAGCGAAAUGCGAUAAGUAAUGUGAAUUGCAGAAUUCAGUGAAUCAUCGAAUCUUUGAACGCACAUUGCGCCCCUUGGUAUUCCGGGGGGCAUGCCUGUUCGAGCGUCAUUUCAACCCUCAAGCUUAGCUUGGUAUUGAGUCUAUGUCAGUAAUGGCAGGCUCUAAAAUCAGUGGCGGCGCCGCUGGGUCCUGAACGUAGUAAUAUCUCUCGUUACAGGUUCUCGGUGUGCUUCUGCCAAAACCCAAAUUUUUCUAUGGUUGACCUCGGAUCAGGUAGGGAUACCCGCUGAACUUAAGCAUAUCAAAAGCCGGGAGGAAAAAAUUUAGC